Cercocebus atys (sooty mangabey) is the source of this 138-nucleotide ribosomal RNA. The record is from Ensembl. Lineage: Eukaryota; Metazoa; Chordata; Mammalia; Primates; Cercopithecidae.
GUCUAUGGCCAUAUCACCCUGAACACACCCGAUCUUAUCUGAUCUUGGAAACUCAACAGGGUCGGGCCUGGUUAGUACUUGGAUGGGAAACGAAUAUACUUGAGUUGGAGGGAAGAAGGGGUAUGGUUGUUGUUGAUU